UCAAAGAUAGUACAUUGACCGGUACAAAUUUCUUUGCAGCAACAGGACCACCGUCUAUCUCCACACUGUCGCUUGACUGCACUAGACCAUCAGGAUGUUUCCCGCCUGGUAAAGUUUGUAAUACGAGUGACACCAUCCCUAAAGCAUGCCCAACAACUGCAACACCAACUAUUACAGCAGAUCCAAAAACAAAGAAGAGCCACUGUGGAAAGAAGAAGCACAGUCGUCCAUGAAUUGAGGCAAAGACAAAAGAAAACAAUCGUUAAAUGUGUCACCUAACAGUUAAGACACAAAUAAAAAUUAAUCAAUCAAAUUUUGAUUUGUUAUAUGCCAUAAAAAAAUAUAUAUAUUUAAAGAAUUCGUUAUCUGUUGAAUCUUA
Molecule: long non-coding RNA, 379 nt
Organism: Mytilus californianus (California mussel)
Lineage: Eukaryota; Metazoa; Mollusca; Bivalvia; Mytilida; Mytilidae
Exons: 2
Source: RefSeq, a predicted model, not a curated record